GACCUGCGGAAGGNCAUUANUGAAUUUGGAUGGGGUUGUUGCUGGCCNUUCUGGGCAUGGUGCACGCCUCAAUUCGUUCUUUUAUUACACCUGUGCACAUAUUGUAGGGUUGGCUCUUGUGUGGGACGUUGAGGCUUUGUUGACUCGCUCUCCGAGCUUUCCUUAUGUUAUUAUUAUCAUAAACUGGUCUACAGAAUGUCUAUUGCGUGCAACGCAUUUAUGUAUAUAACUUUCAGCAACGGAUCUCUUGGCUCUCGCAUCGAUGAAGAACGCAGCGAAAUGCGAUAAGUAAUGUGAAUUGCAGAAUUCAGUGAAUCAUCGAAUCUUUGAACGCAUCUUGCGCUCCCUGGUAUUCCGGGGAGCAUGCCUGUUUGAGUGUCAUGGAAUUAUCAACCUUCAUUUACUUUUGUGUGAAUUGAGGGCUUGGAUUUGGAGGGUUUAUUGCCGGGGGAGAAUAUAUGUCUCAUCGGCUCCUCUUGAAUGCAUUAGCUCGAAUCUCUGCGGAUCAGCUACUCGGUGUUAUAAGUUUUAUUUAUUUACUGCCGUCACUGUGAUGCAUGAAUGAUUGGCUUCUAAUUGUCUUGUUACGAGACAAUUCUAUAUGAUCUUUGACCUCAAAUCAGGUAGGGUUACCCGCUGAACUUAAGCAUAUCAAUAAGCGGAGGAAAAGAAACUAACGAGGAUUCCCCUAGUAACUGCGAGUGAAGCGGGAAAAGCUCAAAUUUAAAAUCUGGCGGUUUUUCUGGCC
This is a ribosomal RNA of 748 nucleotides. The stretch from base 228 to 381 matches the Rfam family "5.8S ribosomal RNA".